UCACAUAUAAAACCCUAGAUCCAAAAUGUGGCUAAAAUUGAGCAAGAAUGAACAAAAAUUGACAAAGAAACAUAAACCAACCUUUCUUAUCCACCUUCUUCCAAGAAAUGAAGACCAAAACCUCCCCCCUUAUAUUUUUGUGAAAUCUGGACCUCCAAAAUCGCCUCCAAUGGAAGCUGGCUGCGAGCAUACAGUUCACUGUCGGGGGGAAGAAGAGGGUUAUUUAUAACAUACAGUUCACUGGCGGUUGGCUUGAAAAACCGCCAGUGGAAACCAAUUUCCACUGGCGGUUAUUUUAACACAACCGCCAGUGGAAAUAGGGUAUUUCCACUGGCGGUUGUGUUACACCAACCGCUAGUGGAAAUUGGUUUCCACUGGCGGUUCUGUUAAGAUAACCGCCAGUGGAAAUAGGUUUCCACUGGCGGUUCCCAAGCCGGACCCACCUCGUUUUUUACUGGCGCGCGAUAACCCGAAACCGCCAGUGAUAAUUUAUAGGUGCCGCAGUCUAUGAGCUCUUUUCUACUGUGCCGUCCGGACGUACACAGAGGAGAGUCGCUCCUGUACCAGGUCGCGGUAGAGAGCCCCACCGGCCAUGUCCGAUUAUUUCAGCAAGCACUCGCCCAAGAUAUAUAGUACGAGUAGGGCAUUCCUACAGGACCUCGAACUGAUGUCAAUACUCCAGCGCGCGCCAGCUGCUCGUCAACGCCGGCGGCUUUUUAGAGAGGACCUUCUUCCCGCGCCAGUCUACGGAAGAUGGAACUUCACCGAGCAGGUACUCCCCGACGACCUGAUCAAGAUGUAAUAAUCUACUCUGUCAUUGAGAAUUGAGAUCGACCAUCAGCGUAGUCCAGAAGAGAGAACAAUGCAUUAAACAAUGCUAAUAUUGCCAAUGCAGAGGAAUGGCCGUUCCAGAUCCGUCGAGCCCGUACAAGGUGCUGCUGCUGCUGAUGGAGGACUACCCGUACGCGUCGGACGGGCUGGCCGUCUGGCACGCCAUCGAGCAGUGCGUGACGGAGUACCUGGCCAU
This 1027-nucleotide long non-coding RNA is filed under the name Zea mays. RNAcentral describes it as "long non-coding RNA (ZMAY_LNC005115)". The record is from RNAcentral. Lineage: Eukaryota; Viridiplantae; Streptophyta; Magnoliopsida; Poales; Poaceae.